ACGUGUCUUCAGGGCGGGGUGUGACUCCCCACCGGCGGUAUAGUCCGCGACCGGCCACCUGAAAGGGUGUCCGUUGACCCGGUGAGACUCCGGGACCGACAGUGAAGCCUCCUAAGACAGGAGGUAUCAGUCUGGAUGGAAGAAGAUUCUU
This 151-nucleotide non-coding RNA is filed under the name Oscillibacter valericigenes. RNAcentral's name for it is "FMN sequence". It matches the Rfam family "FMN riboswitch aptamer (RFN element)". From Rfam's summary of the family: The RFN element is a highly conserved domain that is found frequently in the 5'-untranslated regions of prokaryotic mRNAs that encode for flavin mononucleotide (FMN) biosynthesis and transport proteins. Lineage: Bacteria; Bacillati; Bacillota; Clostridia; Eubacteriales; Oscillospiraceae. The record is from RNAcentral.